UACGUAGGUGGCAAGCGUUGUCCGGAUUUACUGGGCGUAAAGAGCGCGCAGGCGGUCGUUCAAGUCGCGUGUGAAAGCCCCCGGCUCAACUGGGGAGGGUCACGCGAUACUGAUCGACUCGAAGGCAGGAGAGGGAAGUGGAAUUCCCGGUGUAGUGGUGAAAUGCGUAGAUAUCAGGAGGAAUACCGGUGGCGAAAGCGACUCUCUGGACGGCAACUGACGCUGAGGCACGAAAGCGUGGGGAGCAAACAGG
This 253-nucleotide ribosomal RNA is filed under the name uncultured bacterium. RNAcentral's name for it is "partial 16S ribosomal RNA". It matches the Rfam family "Bacterial small subunit ribosomal RNA", at positions 524 to 776 of the family's 1533-position model. The record is from RNAcentral.